RNAcentral lists this ribosomal RNA (236 nucleotides) under uncultured bacterium. RNAcentral's name for it is "partial 16S ribosomal RNA". It matches the Rfam family "Bacterial small subunit ribosomal RNA", at positions 100 to 334 of the family's 1533-position model. The record is from RNAcentral.
CGGAACGGGUGAGUAACGCGUGAGGAACCUGCCUCAGAGGGGGACAACAGUUGGAAACGACUGCUAAUACCGCAUAAGCCCACGGCUCGGCAUCGAGCAGAGGGAAAAGGAGCAAUCCGCUUUGAGAUGGCCUCGCGUCCGAUUAGCUAGUUGGUGAGGUAACGGCCCACCAAGGCGACGAUCGGUAGCCGGACUGGGAGGUUGAACGGCCACAUUGGGACUGAGACACGGCCCAG